GAUGAAGAACGCAGCGAAAUGCGAUACGUAAUGUGAAUUGCAGAAUUCAGUGAAUCAUCGAAUCUUUGAACGCACAUUGCGCCCCUCGGUAUUCCGGGGGGCAUGCCUGUCCGAGCGUCAUUGCUGCCCUCAAGCACGGCUUGUGUGUUGGGCCUCCGUCCUCCUCCCGGGGGACGGGCCCGAAAGGCAGCGGCGGCACCGCGUCCGGUCCUCGAGCGUAUGGGGCUUCGUCACCCGCUCUUGUAGGCCCGGCCGGCGCUUGCCGACACAUCAAUCUUUUUUCCAGGUUGACCUCGGAUCAGGUAGGGAUACCCGCUGAACUUAAGCAUAUCAAUAAGCGGAGGA
RNAcentral lists this unclassified non-coding RNA (345 nucleotides) under soil metagenome. Its description in RNAcentral is "partial contains 5.8S ribosomal RNA, internal transcribed spacer 2, and large subunit ribosomal RNA". The stretch from base 1 to 120 matches the Rfam family "5.8S ribosomal RNA", at positions 35 to 154 of the family's 154-position model. The record is from RNAcentral.